UACAGAGGUCCCAAGCGUUGUUCGGAUUUACUGGGCGUAAAGGGUGCGUAGGUGGUUGGGUAAGUCUGAUGUGAAAUCUCCGGGCUCAACCCGGAAAUGGCAUUGGAUACUAUUCGGCUAGAGGUUUGGAGGGGGGACUGGAAUUCUCGGUGUAGCAGUGAAAUGCGUAGAUAUCGAGAGGAACACCAGUGGCGAAGGCGAGUCCCUGGACAACACCUGACACUGAGGCACGAAAGCUAGGGGAGCAAACAGG
RNAcentral lists this ribosomal RNA (253 nucleotides) under uncultured bacterium. RNAcentral describes it as "partial 16S ribosomal RNA". It matches the Rfam family "Bacterial small subunit ribosomal RNA", at positions 524 to 776 of the family's 1533-position model. The record is from RNAcentral.